GAUCAUGGCUCAGGACGAACGCUGGCGGCGUGCUUAACACAUGCAAGUCGAACGAGAAUCUGUGGAAAGAGGAUUCGUCCAAUUGAAGCAGAGGACAGUGGCGGACGGGUGAGUAACGCGUGAGGAACCUGCCUUUCAGAGGGGGACAACAGUUGGAAACGACUGCUAAUACCGCAUGACACAUAGGUGUCGCACGGCACUUAUGUCAAAGAUUUAUCG
RNAcentral lists this ribosomal RNA (219 nucleotides) under uncultured bacterium. RNAcentral describes it as "partial 16S ribosomal RNA". It matches the Rfam family "Bacterial small subunit ribosomal RNA", at positions 15 to 217 of the family's 1533-position model. The record is from RNAcentral.